UACGGAGGGUGCAAGCGUUAUCCGGAUUCACUGGGUUUAAAGGGAGCGCAGGCGGAUUUGUAAGUCAGUGGUGAAAGGCUUAAGCUUAACUUGGGAACUGCCAUUGAUACUAUAAGUCUUGAAUGUUGUUGAGGUUUGCGGAAUGGAUCAUGUAGCGGUGAAAUGCAUAGAUAUGACCCGGAACACCUAUUGCGAAGGCAGCAGGCUAAACAAAUAUUGACGCUGAGGCUCGAAAGCGUGGGGAUCAAACAGG
This 253-nucleotide ribosomal RNA is filed under the name uncultured bacterium. Its description in RNAcentral is "partial 16S ribosomal RNA". It matches the Rfam family "Bacterial small subunit ribosomal RNA", at positions 524 to 776 of the family's 1533-position model. The record is from RNAcentral.